CUCCUGGAACAAGUGGCAGGAUAAUAUCUUGUACCUGUUGGAGAGACUAUAGCCUGCAAACAGUAAGAAGAUUCCCCUCUCUUUCUCAGUGGAUGUAAAGCAGUGAUUCUGCAUAAAUGUAUCAACACUAUAGCUCAACUCCUUCUGGAGUGGACUUCCCCUAGACCUGGAGAGCGAGUCCUGCCUAGCAUACACGGCCUGAAGUUCGAGAUCUCUUCCAAUUCAGGUCAACAAGAAAACUCAAUUCCUCUUCAGGAAGUUAAGUGACUUAAAGAUUACAUAAGAGCUAAGAAGACAAGCCAGCUAAGCAUGUUCAAGACCGGGCUUUUUGAAACUGCACUAAUUGAUCAUAACGAGACGGGGUUUCACCAUGUUGCCCAGGCUGGUCUAGAAGUCCUGGGCUGAAGCGAUCCGACCGCCUCCCAAAGUGCUGGGAUUACAGGAGUGAGCCAUCUCGCCCAGCCGAAAAAGUGUUUUUUGAUCUUAAAAUCUUACGUGGAAUGAAAGUGAACAAUGAGGCAAUGAAAGUGGAAGUUUCUCUUAAGCAAACACAGAAGUCAACCAUUCCAGCUUUCUAAGGUACUGGUAAUACUCUUUCGUCUAUUUUAUUUUAUGGCAUAAUUUUAAGACUCCUGUGAGCUAUGUCUUUAGGGGAAGUUUGGGAAGGACAGGCAGAGUGUCAAUACUAAAUUAACAUCAGUUUAAUUUCCGCCCAUGGUUAUCUGGGCCUCAUUCCAGCAUUAAGACUUUCAGAAAAAACAUUGAGAUAAAGCUGUCUUUUUAUACCAACAGGUGGCAGUAUUGCUUUGAAACAAACGACAGCAACGACACCGUACUGUCCCAUUUUAAGAAACUUCUAGAUCCAUUGCAUUUCUAAAAUCUUACACUUUUAUUAGACUUCGCCUUUUUAAUUUAAUUUUAUUUGUAUUUAUUUAUUUAUUUAU
This 944-nucleotide long non-coding RNA is filed under the name Homo sapiens (human). RNAcentral's name for it is "HSALNT0339106". The record is from RNAcentral. Lineage: Eukaryota; Metazoa; Chordata; Mammalia; Primates; Hominidae.